RNAcentral lists this ribosomal RNA (723 nucleotides) under Heterocapsa sp. RNAcentral describes it as "LSU rRNA". It matches the Rfam family "Eukaryotic large subunit ribosomal RNA", at positions 43 to 651 of the family's 3401-position model. Lineage: Eukaryota; Dinophyceae; Peridiniales; Heterocapsaceae. The record is from RNAcentral.
UAAGUAAGCGGAGGAUAAGAAACUAAAUAGGAUUCCCUCAGUAAUGGCGAAUGAACAGGGAUGAGCUCAGCAUGGAAAUCGGGGCCUGUGGCCUUGAAUUGUAGUCUCGAGAAGCAUUGCCAACGGAGGCGCAGAUGUAAGCCUCUUGGAAAAGAGCAUCGACGAGGGUGAGAGUCCCGUUUGUCAUCUGCAGUCCCCCGUGCACGGUGUGCUUUCUAAAGAGUCACGUUCCUCGGGAUUGGAGCGCAAAGUGGGUGGUAAAUUUCAUCUAAAGCUAAAUAUAGGUUUGAGACCGAUAGCAAACAAGUACCAUGAGGGAAAGGUGAAAAGGACUUUGAAAAGAGAGUUAAAAGUGCCUGAAAUUGCUGAAAGGGAAGCGAAUGGAACCAGUGUUGCUUGGCAAGAUUGGUGCGUGCUAAUGUGAUUGGCUGCUGCUUCAGCGCAAGCGUGGCAGUGGUUUUUGAUCAGGACGUGCGUGUUGUUUCUUGCCUUGUGUGUCAACGUCAGUUCUCAAUCGAGGAAAACGCCAGGGAAAUGGGAGCCUGGGUCCGCUUGGGUGAACGUCCUUGGUUGAACUCAUUUGUGAACUGUUUCUUGCGUGUCUGGUUGCAGUGCUCUCUGUCCCUGGGACUCCAAUGUGGGCUUCGGUCUGCUUGGGCGUCUUGGGCGACUGGGGUAUCUCCCUGACACAACGACGAUGACUAAAUGGUUCUAUUCGACCCG